Molecule: ribosomal RNA, 253 nt
Filed under: uncultured bacterium
Lineage: Bacteria
Description: partial 16S ribosomal RNA
Rfam family: Bacterial small subunit ribosomal RNA
Source: RNAcentral
GACGUAGGGGGCCAGCGUUGCUCGGAAUUACUGGGCGUAAAGGGUUCGUAGGCGGUGUGGCAAGUCGGGAGUGAAAUCUCUGGGCUUAACUCAGAGGCUGCUUCCGAAACUGCCGUGCUAGAGUGCGGGAGAGGCGAGUGGAAUUGCAGGUGUAGCGGUGAAAUGCGUAGAUAUCUGCAGGAACACCCGUGGCGAAGGCGGCUCGCUGGACCGCAACUGACGCUCAUGCACGACAGCGUGGGGAUCAAACAGG